ACCAACCCGAUGCAAACUGCGAAUACCGGAGAAUGUUAUCACGGGAGACACACGGCGGGUGCUAACGUCCGUCGUGAAGAGGGAAACAACCCAGACCGCCAGCUAAGGUCCCAAAGUCAUGGUUAAGUGGGAAACGAUGUGGGAAGGCCCAGACAGCCAGGAUGUUGGCUUAGAAGCAGCCAUCAUUUAAAGAAAGCGUAAUAGCUCACUGGUCGAGUCGGCCUGCGCGGAAGAUGUAACGGGGCUAAACCAUGCACCGAAGCUGCGGCAGCGACACUAUGUGUUGUUGGGUAGGGGAGCGUUCUGUAAGCCUGUGAAGGUGGCCUGUGAGGGUUGCUGGAGGUAUCAGAAGUGCGAAUGCUGACAUAAGUAACGAUAAAGCGGGUGAAAAGCCCGCUCGCCGGAAGACCAAGGGUUCCUGUCCAACGUUAAUCGGGGCAGGGUGAGUCGACCCCUAAGGCGAGGCCGAAAGGCGUAGUCGAUGGGAAACAGGUUAAUAUUCCUGUACUUGGUGUUACUGCGAAGGGGGGACGGAGAAGGCUAUGUUGGCCGGGCGACGGUUGUCCCGGUUUAAGCGUGUAGGCUGGUUUUCCAGGCAAAUCCGGAAAACCAAGGCUGAGGCGUGAUGA
This 629-nucleotide ribosomal RNA is filed under the name Escherichia coli. Its description in RNAcentral is "partial 23S ribosomal RNA". It matches the Rfam family "Bacterial large subunit ribosomal RNA", at positions 938 to 1569 of the family's 2925-position model. The record is from RNAcentral. Lineage: Bacteria; Pseudomonadati; Pseudomonadota; Gammaproteobacteria; Enterobacterales; Enterobacteriaceae.